This 369-nucleotide unclassified non-coding RNA is filed under the name Hevea brasiliensis (rubber tree). The record is from RNAcentral. Lineage: Eukaryota; Viridiplantae; Streptophyta; Magnoliopsida; Malpighiales; Euphorbiaceae.
GGAACUCAGUUUAAGCAUGGUGCUCUUCAUUACAUUGAUUUCAUAGAGGAAUCUCUUCCUGAUAUUGCUUGGGGGAAAAGAAGCCGUGUGAUAUUGGAUGUUGGGUGUGGGGUGGCAAGCUUUGGAGGUUAUCUUUUUGAAAGAGAUGUUCUUGCAAUGUCGUUUGCACCCAAGGAUGAGCAUGAAGCCCAAGUGCAGUUUGCACUUGAGCGGGGAAUCCCUGCCAUGUUGGCUGUUAUGGGCACCAAGAGACUACCAUUUCCCAGUUCUGUUUUUGAUAUCGUCCACUGUGCACGCUGUAGGGUCCCUUGGCAUAUUGAAGGAGGUAAAUUUCUUUUAGAGCUCAAUCGUGUGUUGCGACCUGGUGGU